AUUUAGUUUAAAAUUUAUUUCAACGUUGAAUUAUUCAUAUACAAAAAGUUUAUUCAAACGAAAGUCAAAUGAUUUUUAAUCAAUAAUACAGUGGCCCAAAAAAAGAAAACAAACUGUAGAGACGUAUUUCUAGAUGAAUUGGCUGGUCAUUUCAUCCAAAAUUCGACCAUUUAUUCAAAUAAUUUACUUGCUUAUUAUAAAGAUUAUCUCACAAACAAUAAAGAGGUGGCUACAGCAAACAAAAUGUAACUUAUUUAUAAAUGGUCUCCUCCUCUGAAAGGAUAUGUACAAUUAUCAGGAAGAUAAGGAUUUCGGUACCAAAAAUUGCACCUUUACACCCAAGGUUGCACAAUAGUAUAAAUCCUCUUGAAAUGAAUAGAAUUUCAAAGAAUUAUUGACUUCAACUAAGUAAAGCAAUAAGCACCACAAAAGUGAAUGAAGCUCUAUCAUACUUGUCACUGGGGAAAUCUAAGUUUUCAGGUAUUUUUUUUUUUAUAGAUUUUAACUGGCCCAACUUACAUGCUCAGAG
Non-coding RNA from Biomphalaria pfeifferi, 529 nucleotides. NCBI's taxonomy places the organism in Eukaryota, Metazoa, Mollusca, Gastropoda, Planorbidae. The record is from the annotation of a GenBank genome assembly.